RNAcentral lists this ribosomal RNA (440 nucleotides) under uncultured bacterium. RNAcentral describes it as "partial 16S ribosomal RNA". It matches the Rfam family "Bacterial small subunit ribosomal RNA", at positions 338 to 795 of the family's 1533-position model. The record is from RNAcentral.
CCUACGGGAGGCAGCAGUGGGGAAUAUUGCACAAUGGGGGAAACCCUGAUGCAGCGACGCCGCGUGAGUGAAGAAGUAUUUCGGUACGUAAAGCUCUAUCAGCAGGGAAGAUAAUGACGGUACCUGAUCAAGAAGCCCCGGCUAACUACGUGCCAGCAGCCGCGGUAAUACGUAGGGGGCAAGCGUUAUCCGGAUUUACUGGGUGUAAAGGGAGCGUAGACGGCAGCACAAGUCUGGAGUGAAAUGCCGGGGCUUAACCCCGGAACUGCUUUGGAAACUGUGCAGCUGGAGUGCAGGAGAGGUAAGUGGAAUUCCUAGUGUAGCGGUGAAAUGCGUAGAUAUCAGGAGGAACACCAGUGGCGAAGGCGGCUUACGGGACUGUAACUGACGUUGAGGCUCGAAAGCGUGGGUAGCGAACAGGAUUAGAUACCCGGGUAGUC